Small nuclear RNA from Dioscorea cayenensis subsp. rotundata (Guinea yam), 161 nucleotides. RefSeq annotates it as U1 spliceosomal RNA. The record is from RefSeq and is a predicted model, not a curated record. Lineage: Eukaryota; Viridiplantae; Streptophyta; Magnoliopsida; Dioscoreales; Dioscoreaceae. The transcript has a single exon.
AUACUUACCUGGGCGGUGUCAACGGGUGACCAAGAAGGCUCGUGGCAUAAAUCAAUGGCCCUCAUUGCACUGAGAGGGUGCGUUAGUUUACCAUCUGCCCAUGUGGCGGAGUGGACGUCAUAAUUUAUGGUAGCGGGGGUACGCGCCUGCGCGGCCCCUAC